Molecule: long non-coding RNA, 1427 nt
Filed under: Cucumis sativus (cucumber)
Lineage: Eukaryota; Viridiplantae; Streptophyta; Magnoliopsida; Cucurbitales; Cucurbitaceae
Description: long non-coding RNA (CSAT_LNC001567)
Source: RNAcentral
UUAGUGGAAUAUUAGGUGUUGAGAUUUGGCAAAUGAAUUGCAUGCAUUUUUGCAUGCAAUUAGGCUAUAAAUAGAGGUGUUUUCAAAUGUUGAAGGACUUUUGCCUCUUUUAUCAUUUUCAUCAUCUCAACAAAAGAAAAAAGAAAGCUUCCAAUCUCAUUUUAUCUCCAUUACUUUCUACACCAAAAUUGGGUCCCACAACCCGGUUCUUUGUCUAGAGGAUAGCAGUUGAGUACUAGUGGUGGUCUCGGGUAGAAUUGGUAAGAAGACAUCAAACCUUUUGAAAGCUUCAAAGGUAAUACUUCUUAAAACCCUAAUUUGAUUAGUUUAUGGUUACAUGUUAAUUGUGGCAAUUAGGGUAGAAAUUCGAUUCUUUUUCCGCUGUGCAUGACUUAGUUCUAUCAUGUGGUAUCAGAGCAUGCUUCAUUUUUACCCAAUUGCAUGUGGUGGGUUCAUAUUUAUUAGAUAAAUUUUGGUUUGAACUAAAAUGGAUAUAUUAUGAUUUUGGCUCUAGAUUAAGUGUUUUUGUUCUAAUUAUUGUAAUUAGCCUUGUUAAUGGCUUAUUUUUAUUGUUGCAAAGUGUUUGUAAUUUUUAAAAAAAAUAAAAAAGGUCAUUAGAGUUGAAGCUAGGCUGUAAUUGGUUCAACCGGGUGAGAGAAUUGAAAAAAAAAUGAAGAAAAGAAGGUCACAGACCCGAAAACCCGGCCUUGACCCGCUUCGCGACCCGCACGCGCCCGCAUGCCCGCGCGCCCUCCUGCGUCCGCACGCGCGCCGCGCGCCCGCGCGCCCUCCUGCGCCCGCGCCGCCGCCUGCGCUCGCGCGCCUGCUCUGCGCCCGCGCGCCCUGCAUGCGCCCGUGCGCCCGCCUGUGCCCGCGCGCCCGCAUGCGCCUGCGCGCCCGCACGCCCGCCUUCGUCCGCGCGCCUGCCUUCGCACGACCCGUGUGCGCCUGGGCCGGUUCAAGCCAAUAAAUUUGGUUUUUGGGCCGGUUCAAGCGGUUUCGGUUGGUUUAUUUAGCCGGUUCGAAGUUUUUGGGAGUGGUUCUGUACUACACCAAAUUAAUUAUGUAAUAAUUUAGCACUUAGCUUAAUUUAGGAGCAAAAAAUCAGUCCAUUUUAGGGUGUUUUUUUUAUUUAUGCAUGUGAUGUAUGAUUAAAUUACUUUAAAUUUGUAUGUGCAUUUUGAAUGUCAUAUAGAUUUAAAAUCCCACCAUAGGUUAACAUGUUCAUGCAUUAAAAUGUAUGAUAUAAAAGUUAUAUUGUAUUGUAUGCAUGUUAAUUGAUUAAUAUGGAAAUUAAUUAAUAUGAUUAAUUAAUUAUUUAAUUAAUUAAGUUAUUCUUGAUUAAAUAUGAUUUAAUCAAAUUAAGUAAUUAUUGUUUGAUUUAAUCAAAGUACUGUUCACAGGUCACAUUUUGCUCCUGAUUUGGC